RNAcentral lists this long non-coding RNA (1684 nucleotides) under Panax ginseng (ginseng). Its description in RNAcentral is "long non-coding RNA (PGIN_LNC015916)". Lineage: Eukaryota; Viridiplantae; Streptophyta; Magnoliopsida; Apiales; Araliaceae. The record is from RNAcentral.
ACUGAUAAGUUAGCUAUCAUUUUUGUUGAUCAAAUUGUCCGCUACAAAACUGAAGGGAAAAGCUGGCAGCUCCUCCCUUCCUCUCCACUGUUCACCCAGCUUCAAGAUGAUGUGUUUUAACCCGAGCUGCAGCCUCAUAUAACAGCUGCCACAUGUGCUUCUUCUCAUUCCCAGAUUCAAACAUUGCUUUGCUUUCUUCUCCCAGGAAUUCCUGACUCUGUUUGAAGAGAAAUUCUAAGUUUACUCAAUUCUAUUCAAAUUCAAUUAUAGCUGACUCGGUGAAUGAAUUGUCGCUUGGUAAAAUCUUGAGGCUAGGAUUUGAUCACGCCUUUGCAUAUGACUUCAGCAUAACAACUUUCAGAAUGGAGAAUAGCGUGAGAUAUACGUCAUCAAUGACAAGUUUAUAUACAAUUUUCAACGGUGAAGACAAGAGCUGCCAGACCAGAACAUUAUUUGAUAUUUACACUGCAGAUAACGAAUUAAUAUACAAGUACAUGGAAAGUCUAUAUUGACAGCUGAAGGAGCUUAUACUUGUUGAGCUUCCAGACAGUGUGUCCUGGUCAUAUUUUCCAGAAUUAUGAGAAGUGCUUCAGAAUCAAAUGUCACCCUUGAGAGCCCAGACUUUAAUAUAAACUGCUAUUGCUACAAAUAAUUUUUAUGGAAUGCGACUUCUUUCGACUAGAAAAUAAUCAACUCAUUGAUUAUUAUCAAAGCGUAGUUACAACCACACAGAGACAAACUUGAAUUCAGGAGUCAAUGCACACGUGGAAGAGUAUUGACUAUGAUGUCAAAUAAUUACUCCCUCUGUCCCAAAUUAACUGCUCAGUUUUGACUUUUUUAAGUCAAAUUGAUUAUUUUUAGAAUUAAUAAUUAAGUAUAUAUAAAUAUAUUUCUAAAAUUAUAAAAUUAGGAUUAGUAAUAAAUUGUAUAUACUUUCUUUUGGUUAUAAUCUCUUCACCUAUAUUUUAGCAAAAAUAGUAAAAAGAUUAGCUUUAAAAAUGGUCAAUUUGACUUUAAAAAGUCAAAAUUGAGCAAUUAAUUUGGGACGGAUGGAGUAUUUACUAGACCAAUCAAGCAUUAAAGAUUCAUUACCCGAUUUUACUCUGGUGUUACCAUUAUGAGUAAAUGUUAAUAUCACACACUUACUACCAGUUUCUCACUACCAAGAACUAAUAAAGGAUAUUAUUUUGGUGACAACUCUAGAAUACAAAUAAUGAACUUGUUUAUUUUACAAAUAAAGUUUAAUAUAAAUAGGGGGGAAAGUAAAAACAAUAGAAAAGGCCCCUCGAGGGGAAAACAUUAUCAUUGCCAAUGACAAAGGCUGUGAAAUGGUUAUUAAAUUUCCCAAACAGAAUGUUAAUCAAGCUAGGUUAACCUCAUUUUGGACAAAUAUAGGGAAAUUUUCUGCUAAUAUUCAUCAAAAUAGAGCAGCAUAAGUAAUCAUAAAUAACAAAAUCUCGAAAUAAAUCAUCAACAAUUUUGUAUGUAUAUGUAUGUACGUACGUACCUUUGCCACAAACCUCUCUCAACCUAGAAUCUUCUUGCUCCAUAUAUAACAAUGCCUGUCAUUGCCAAUAAUAAUAAACAGAACAGGAGUGCUUCUGGGUGUUCCAAACCAGAUAAAUAAAAGUUGGAUAAUAAUUUCUAAAUUUUCUUUUUCAAUUUUUCUCUUACCUUUUCUGAU